RNAcentral lists this ribosomal RNA (499 nucleotides) under uncultured bacterium. RNAcentral describes it as "partial 16S ribosomal RNA". It matches the Rfam family "Bacterial small subunit ribosomal RNA", at positions 30 to 523 of the family's 1533-position model. The record is from RNAcentral.
AUUGAACGCUGGCGGUAUGCUUAACACAUGCAAGUCGAACGAUGAGAAAGAGCUUGCUCUUUCGAUUAGUGGCGGACGGGUGCGUAACGCGUAGGAAUCUACCUAUUGGUGGGGGACAACUUAGGGAAACUUAAGCUAAUACCGCAUACGCCCUACGGGGGAAAGAAGGGGAUCGAAAGACCUUUUGCUAUUAGAUGAGCCUGCGUAGGAUUAGCUAGUUGGUGGGGUAAAAGAGCACCAAGGCGACGAUCCUUAACUGGUUUGAGAGAAUGAUCAGUCACACGGGCACGGAGACACGGUCCAGACUCGGACGGGAGGCAGCAGUGGGUAAUAUUGGACAAUGGGCGAAAGCCUGAUCCAGUAAUACCGCGUGUUUAAAGAAGGCCUUAGGGUUGUAAAGCACUUUCAAUUGGAAGGAAAACCUCGAAGCUAAUACCUUCGAGUUUGACAUUACCUUUAGAAGAAGCACCGGCUAACUCCGUGCCAGCCGCCGCCGUAA